ACCCUUUAAUGUUUGAUGUUCUAACGUGGACCCGUGAUCCGGGUUGCGGACAGUGUCUGGUGGGUAGUUUGACUGGGGCGGUCUCCUCCUAAAGAGUAACGGAGGAGCACGAAGGUUGGCUAAUCCUGGUCGGACAUCAGGAGGUUAGUGCAAUGGCAUAAGCCAGCUUGACUGCGAGCGUGACGGCGCGAGCAGGUGCGAAAGCAGGUCAUAGUGAUCCGGUGGUUCUGAAUGGAAGGGCCAUCGCUCAACGGAUAAAAGGUACUCCGGGGAUAACAGGCUGAUACCGCCCAAGAGUUCAUAUCGACGGCGGUGUUUGGCACCUCGAUGUCGGCUCAUCACAUCCUGGGGCUGAAGUAGGUCCCAAGGGUAUGGCUGUUCGCCAUUUAAAGUGGUACGCGAGCUGGGUUUAGAACGUCGUGAGACAGUUCGGUCCCUAUCUGCCGUGGGCGCUGGAGAACUGAGGGGGGCUGCUCCUAGUACGAGAGGACCGGAGUGGACGCAUCACUGGUGUUCGGGUUGUCAUGCCAAUGGCACUGCCCGGUAGCUAAAUGCGGAAGAGAUAAGUGCUGAAAGCAUCUAAGCACGAAACUUGCCCCGAGAUGAGUUCUCCCUGAGACUUUAGGUCUCCUGAAGGAACGUUGAAGACGACGACGUUGAUAGGUCGGGUGUGUAAGCGCAGCGAUGCGUUGAGCUAACCGGUACUAAUGAACCGUGAGGCUUAACCUUACAACGCCGAAG
RNAcentral lists this ribosomal RNA (741 nucleotides) under Salmonella enterica. RNAcentral describes it as "partial 23S ribosomal RNA". It matches the Rfam family "Bacterial large subunit ribosomal RNA", at positions 2202 to 2925 of the family's 2925-position model. The record is from RNAcentral. Lineage: Bacteria; Pseudomonadati; Pseudomonadota; Gammaproteobacteria; Enterobacterales; Enterobacteriaceae. RNAcentral also lists the same sequence under 1 other name.